AGAGUUUGAUCAUGGCUCAGGAUGAACGUUGGUAGUAUGCCUAACACAUGCAAGUCGAGCGGAAAGUGAUAGCAAUAUUACUUUUAGCGGCGAACGGGUGAGUAAUGCUUAUCUUACCUGCCAUUUAGUGGGGGAUAAAAUUCCGCAUAUUAUGAGUAAUCAUGAAAGGACUUUUUAGUUCGCUAAAUGAUGGGGAUAAGUCGUAUUAGUUAGUUGGUAGGGUAAUGGCCUACCAAGACAAUGAUGCGUAGCCAGUCUGAGAGGAUGAAUGGCCACAAAGGAACUGAGACACGGCCCAGACUCCUACGGGAGGCAGCAGUGGGGAAUAUUGGACAAUGGGCGAAAGCCUGAUCCAGCAAUGCCGCGUGUGUGAAGAAGGCCUGCGGGUUGUAAAGCACUUUCAGCAGGGAAGAAAAGCUUAGGGCUAAUACCUCUAAGUCUUGACGUUACCUGCAGAAGAAGCACCGGCUAACUCCGUGCCAGCAGCCGCGGUAAUACGGAGGGUGCGAGCGUUAAUCGGAAUUACUGGGCGUAAAGCGCGCGUAGGCGGUUGAGCAAGUCGGAUGUGAAAGCCCUGGGCUUAACCUGGGAAUUGCAUUCGAGACUGCUCGGCUAGAGUUUGGUAGAGGAAAGCGGAAUUCCGGGUGUAGCGGUGAAAUGCGUAGAUAUCCGGAGGAACAUCAGUGGCGAAGGCGGCUUUCUGGACUGAAACUGACGCUGAGGUGCGAAAGCGUGGGGAGCAAACAGGAUUAGAUACCCCAGUAGUCC
RNAcentral lists this ribosomal RNA (768 nucleotides) under uncultured Gammaproteobacteria bacterium. RNAcentral's name for it is "bacterial SSU rRNA". It matches the Rfam family "Bacterial small subunit ribosomal RNA", at positions 8 to 796 of the family's 1533-position model. Lineage: Bacteria; Pseudomonadati; Pseudomonadota; Gammaproteobacteria. The record is from RNAcentral.